GGCGGGACACGUGGUAUCCUGUCUGAAUAUGGGGGGACCAUCCUCCAAGGCUAAAUACUCCUGACUGACCGAUAGUGAACCAGUACCGUGAGGGAAAGGCGAAAAGAACCCCGGCGAGGGGAGUGAAAAAGAACCUGAAACCGUGUACGUACAAGCAGUGGGAGCACGCUUAGGCGUGUGACUGCGUACCUUUUGUAUAAUGGGUCAGCGACUUAUAUUCUGUAGCAAGGUUAACCGAAUAGGGGAGCCGAAGGGAAACCGAGUCUUAACUGGGCGUUAAGUUGCAGGGUAUAGACCCGAAACCCGGUGAUCUAGCCAUGGGCAGGUUGAAGGUUGGGUAACACUAACUGGAGGACCGAACCGACUAAUGUUGAAAAAUUAGCGGAUGACUUGUGGCUGGGGGUGAAAGGCCAAUCAAACCGGGAGAUAGCUGGUUCUCCCCGAAAGCUAUUUAGGUAGCGCCUCGUGAAUUCAUCUCCGGGGGUAGAGCACUGUUUCGGCAAGGGGGUCAUCCCGACUUACCAACCCGAUGCAAAC
RNAcentral lists this ribosomal RNA (537 nucleotides) under Shigella dysenteriae. RNAcentral's name for it is "partial 23S ribosomal RNA". It matches the Rfam family "Bacterial large subunit ribosomal RNA", at positions 416 to 954 of the family's 2925-position model. The record is from RNAcentral. Lineage: Bacteria; Pseudomonadati; Pseudomonadota; Gammaproteobacteria; Enterobacterales; Enterobacteriaceae.